UUGUACUUGCCCAAACACACCCAUCUUUAACUGGGUGACCUCAGAUCAGGUAGGGAUACCCGCUGAACUUAAGCAUAUCAAUAAGCGGAGGAA
This 93-nucleotide ribosomal RNA is filed under the name Peziza ostracoderma. RNAcentral describes it as "partial 28S ribosomal RNA". The stretch from base 36 to 93 matches the Rfam family "Eukaryotic large subunit ribosomal RNA", at positions 1 to 58 of the family's 3401-position model. Lineage: Eukaryota; Fungi; Ascomycota; Pezizomycetes; Pezizales; Pezizaceae. The record is from RNAcentral.